UAUCUGAACUUUAGACAUGAUUGUUAGAAGCAUUGUUAUAUAAAAGGUCUGAUUUGUUUAGUAGCACUUUUGAAGAAAUGUGUUCUUAUGUUACUGUUAUUUUUGUGGAUUGUUAUAUAAAAGGUCUGAUUUGUCAAGUUUUUCAUUGUACCUUUAAUGUGAUAUUUAUAUAGCCAGAAAAGUGAAACUUAAUUGAUGCCUUACUGUGCAAGUUCCUCGUCGUCAACGUCCUAAUGUACCAAGACCUGCGAGUAGAGGACGCCAAGCAGGUAACAGACGGGGUCGAGGUCCCGUGGAUCACCAGUUGGUUGAUGAGGAUGAGGUUCGUUUUGAUCAAGAUAUGCCCAGUUCAUCGAUGCCUGCAGCUGAUGAUGCAUAUUACCCAAUAAUAGAUUUUGGUAUGCCCAGCUCAUCGACGUCUGCUCCCAAGGUCCAAUCAUCUGCCGUAAUCACACGUGAGGGGCCUUUUCAGGCAUUCGCAUCGUCUGAGCCUAUUAGCCUCGCAGUUAUGGCCCAACGCUAUGGUGUUUAGACAGGCACCUCUUAUGGGAUGACAAAUGAUUUUCCUGCAUUCACUGGACAUAACUCUUCAAUUGGGAGGAGACUGAGUUUUACCGACUCUCCCAUGGCAUUUGAUGUUGGAUCCUCACACAUUCCUGUGCCGGAUGUACAGACCUUAGAGCCACAGGACGAGGGUGUGAUACAAGAGGAGGUUCACCAACGUAGAUCAAAACAAGAGCGUCGGCAAACUACGUGUAGCACGGGGGGGGGGGGACAAUGUAAAAACUGAAUUUUUAUUAAUUAUUGAAUUUAUCUCAAAUCUCAAUUGUUAUGUAAUCUUUCAAGAAUACAUAGUAUGUUUUGUGCUUUUUCUAGUUAAUUAUUAUAUGACUUGUGUAAAAACUACAUUAUAAGAUGCCUCAACUUGAAAAUAAAGGUCACAUUUGACUGCAUGCUUGAUUUGACGACUGCAUAGCAGAUUUAACGAA
Molecule: long non-coding RNA, 989 nt
Organism: Lycium ferocissimum
Lineage: Eukaryota; Viridiplantae; Streptophyta; Magnoliopsida; Solanales; Solanaceae
Exons: 3
Source: RefSeq, a predicted model, not a curated record